RNAcentral lists this ribosomal RNA (429 nucleotides) under Bacteroidota bacterium. RNAcentral's name for it is "Bacteroidetes bacterium partial 16S ribosomal RNA". It matches the Rfam family "Bacterial small subunit ribosomal RNA", at positions 355 to 776 of the family's 1533-position model. The record is from RNAcentral. Lineage: Bacteria; Pseudomonadati; Bacteroidota.
UAGGGAAUCUUCCGCAAUGGACGCAAGUCUGACGGAGCAACGCCGCGUGAGUGAAGAAGGAUUUCGGUUCGUAAAACUCUGUUGUUAGAGAAGAACAGCGCAUAGAGCAACUGUUAUGCGUGUGACGGUAUCUAACCAGAAAGCCACGGCUAACUACGUGCCAGCAGCCGCGGUAAUACGUAGGUGGCAAGCGUUGUCCGGAUUUAUUGGGCGUAAAGCGAGCGCAGGCGGUCAAUUAAGUCUGAUGUGAAAGCCCCCGGCUCAACCGGGGAGGGUCAUUGGAAACUGGUUGACUUGAGUGCAGAAGAGGAGAGUGGAAUUCCAUGUGUAGCGGUGAAAUGCGUAGAUAUAUGGAGGAACACCAGUGGCGAAGGCGACUCUCUGGUCUGUAACUGACGCUGAGGCUCGAAAGCGUGGGUAGCAAACAGG